RNAcentral lists this ribosomal RNA (460 nucleotides) under uncultured bacterium. RNAcentral's name for it is "partial 16S ribosomal RNA". It matches the Rfam family "Bacterial small subunit ribosomal RNA", at positions 338 to 795 of the family's 1533-position model. The record is from RNAcentral.
CCUACGGGUGGCAGCAGUGAGGAAUAUUGGUCAAUGGGCGAGAGCCUGAACCAGCCAAGUAGCGUGAGGGAGUACUGCCCUAUGGGUUGUAAACCUCUUUUAUAUGGGAAUAAAAUGUUCCACGUGUGGGAUUUUGUAUGUACCAUAUGAAUAAGGAUCGGCUAACUCCGUGCCAGCAGCCGCGGUAAUACGGAGGAUCCGAGCGUUAUCCGGAUUUAUUGGGUUUAAAGGGAGCGUAGGUGGAUUGUUAAGUCAGUUGUGAAAGUUUGCGGCUCAACCGUAAAAUUGCAGUUGAAACUGGCAGUCUUGAGUACAGUAGAGGUGGGCGGAAUUCGUGGUGUAGCGGUGAAAUGCUUAGAUAUCACGAAGAACUCCGAUUGCGAAGGCAGCUCACUGGACUGCAACUGACACUGAGGCUCGAAAGUGUGGGUAUCAAACAGGAUUAGAUACCCCUGUAGUC